RNAcentral lists this ribosomal RNA (332 nucleotides) under Nostoc sp. MGCY420. RNAcentral's name for it is "bacterial SSU rRNA". It matches the Rfam family "Bacterial small subunit ribosomal RNA", at positions 233 to 580 of the family's 1533-position model. The record is from RNAcentral. Lineage: Bacteria; Bacillati; Cyanobacteriota; Cyanophyceae; Nostocales; Nostocaceae.
GCGUCAGAUUAGCUAGUUGGAGUGGUAACAGCGCACCAAGGCGACGAUCAGUAGUUGGUCUGAGAGGAUGAUCAGCCACACUGGGACUGAGACACGGUCCAGACUCCUACGGGAGGCAGCAGUGGGGAAUUUUCCGCAAUGGGCGAAAGCCUGACGGAGCAAUACCGCGUGAGGGAGGAAGGCUUUUGGGUUGUAAACCUCUUUUUUCAAGGAAGAAUUUAUGAAGGUACUUGAGGAAUCAGCAUCGGCUAACUCCGUGCCAGCAGCCGCGGUAAUACGGAGGAUGCAAGCGUUAUCCGGAAUGAUUGGGCGUAAAGCGUCCGCAGGUGGCC